CCUACGGGAGGCUGCAGUGAGGAAUAUUGGUCAAUGGGCGCGAGCCUGAACCAGCCAAGUAGCGUGAAGGAUGACUGCCCUACGGGUUGUAAACUUCUUUUAUAAAGGAAUAAAGUGAGGCAAGUGUGCCUUCUUGUAUGUACGUUAUGAAUAAGGAAAGGCUAACUCCGUGCCAGCAGCCGCGGUAAUACGGAGGAUGCGAGCGUUAUCCGGAUUUAUUGGGUUUAAAGGGAGCGUAGAUGGGUUGUUAAGUCAGUUGUGAAAGUUUGCGGCUCAACCGUAAAAUUGCAAUUGAUACUGGCAGCCUUGAGUGCAGUUGAGGUAGGCGGAAUUCGUGGUGUAGCGGUGAAAUGCUUAGAUAUCACGAAGAACUCCGAUUGCGAAGGCAGCUUACUAAUCUGCCACUGACAUUGAUGCUCGAAAGUGUGGGUAUCAAACAGGAUUAGAUACCCCUGUAGUC
RNAcentral lists this ribosomal RNA (460 nucleotides) under uncultured bacterium. RNAcentral's name for it is "partial 16S ribosomal RNA". It matches the Rfam family "Bacterial small subunit ribosomal RNA", at positions 338 to 795 of the family's 1533-position model. The record is from RNAcentral.